AUGGGCCAGUGCCCCUCCGCUCCCCGCUACCACCACCACCGCAAGCCCCCUCCUACGCCGCCGUCCCCCACCGCGCAGGCAGCGUCGCCUCGUUUCUGCAGCGCCGCAGCCGCCGAGGACGCGGCCGCGGAGGCUGACUACACUUCUGACCUCCCCGAGGAGCUACUCGCCGUCGUCUUCGGGCUCCUCGGCUCGGGCGACCGCAAGCGCUGCUCCCUGGUGUGCCGCCGCUGGCUCGCCACCGAGGCCUCCUCGCGCCUGCGCCUCGCCCUCGACGCGCGGGCGCCGCUCCUCGCCGCGGCCCCGGCCAUCCUCGCGCGCUUCUCCUCCAUAUCCAAGCUCGCGCUCAAGUGCGACCGCCGCGCGGAGAGCGUCGGCGAUCCCGCGCUCGCGCUCGUCGCGCAUCGCCUCGGCCCCGGCCUUCGCCGCCUCAAGCUCCGCUCCGUCCGUGCUGUCACCGACCACGGCGUCGCCGCCCUCGCCGCCGCGGCUAUAAACCUCCGCAAGCUCUCAGUUGGGUCCUGUACCUUCGGCGCCAAGGGGAUCGAGGCAGUUCUCCGGUCCUGCCCCCAACUCGAGGAGCUCUCUGUCAAGCGGCUGCGUGGCCUAGCCGACUCAGAGCCCAUCACCGUCUCCAGCCCUCGUCUCCAGUCUCUGGCCCUCAAAGAGCUCUAUAACGGGCAGUGCUUCUCCUGUUUAAUCACGUGCUCCCCCAACCUCAAAACCCUCAAGAUCAUCCGCUGCUCCGGUGAUUGGGACCCGGUCCUCCAGGCGAUCCCACAGGGUUCCUUGCUAGCCGAGCUUCAUCUCGAAAAACUGCAGGUCAGUGACCUUGGUGUGGCGGCGCUAUGUGGGCUAGAGGUCCUGUACCUUGCCAAGGCGCCGGAGGUCACAGAUGUUGGUCUGGCAGCACUUGCCACCAAGUCGCCACGUCUACGCAAGCUGCAUGUUGAUGGAUGGAAGGCGAAUAGGAUUGGCGACCGUGGGCUUGCAACCGUGGCGCAGAAAUGUGCUGCUUUGCAGGAAUUGGUCCUCAUUGGUGUGAAUUUGACAUCGGCGAGUCUUGAGUUGAUUGCUGCCAACUGCCCCACUCUUGAGCGGCUUGCGCUUUGUGGGUCUGACACAUUUGGGGAUGCAGAGAUCUCUUGCGUGGCGACUAAGUGUGCUUCUCUGAGGAAGCUGUGCAUCAAGGCAUGCCCUGUGUCUGAUGCCGGAAUGGACAAGCUUGCAGCAGGCUGCCCACGCCUUGUCAAGGUGAAGGUGAAGAAGUGCCGUAGGGUGACGUUUGAGUGUGCUGAGCGGCUUCGUGCUAGUCGGCAUGGUGCUCUUGCUGUGAAUUUUGACACGCCAGGUGGUGCAGGCGAAUUGCAAGAUGCUAGUGUGGAUGAGAGUGGUGUACUGGAGAAUGCAGGGAGUGAUGUGGUACAAGAUGAUUUUGAUGAUCAGAUAGGGGUUCCUGACCUUCUGUGUGGCACCAGUGGCAGACCAUCAGGGUGGAAAGCCCGGAUUGUUGCUUUGAUAUCAAGGAGCUUGUCGGUUUCCAUGUUUCGGAGACGUCCACGUGGGAGCUCCCAUAACUCAUGA
Molecule: ribosomal RNA, 1584 nt
Filed under: Triticum aestivum (bread wheat)
Lineage: Eukaryota; Viridiplantae; Streptophyta; Magnoliopsida; Poales; Poaceae
Description: partial small subunit ribosomal RNA
Source: RNAcentral